This 87-nucleotide transfer RNA is filed under the name Candidatus Dojkabacteria bacterium. RNAcentral's name for it is "tRNA-Leu". It matches the Rfam family "tRNA". Rfam says of the family: Transfer RNA (tRNA) molecules are approximately 80 nucleotides in length. Their secondary structure includes four short double-helical elements and three loops (D, anti-codon, and T loops). Further hydrogen bonds mediate the characteristic L-shaped molecular structure. tRNAs have two regions of fundamental functional importance: the anti-codon, which is responsible for specific mRNA codon recognition, and the 3' end, to which the tRNAs corresponding amino acid is attached (by aminoacyl-tRNA synthetases). tRNAs cope with the degeneracy of the genetic code in two manners: having more than one tRNA (with a specific anti-codon) for a particular amino acid; and 'wobble' base-pairing, i.e. permitting non-standard base-pairing at the 3rd anti-codon position. The record is from RNAcentral.
GCUGAGGUGGUGGAAUUGGUAGACACGCUACCUUGAGGGGGUAGUGCCUAAUAUUUGGGUGUGCAGGUUCGAGUCCUGUUCUCAGCA